GAUGAAGAACGCAGCGAAAUGCGAUAAGUAGUGUGAAUUGCAGAAUUCAGUGAAUCAUCGAAUCUUUGAACGCACAUUGCGCCCCUUGGUAUCCCGAGGGGCAUGCCUGUUCGAGCGUCAUUUCACCACUCAAGCCUGGCUUGGUGUUGGGCGACGUCCUCUUUGGGGACGCGCCUCGAAACGCUCGGCGGCGUGGCACCGGCUUUAAGCGUAGCAGAAUCUUUCGCUUUGGAAGUCGGGGCCCCGUCUGCCGGAAGACCUGCUCGCAAGGUUGACCUCGGAUCAGGCAGAGAUACCCGCUGAACUUAAGCAUAUCAAUAAGCGGAGGA
RNAcentral lists this unclassified non-coding RNA (329 nucleotides) under soil metagenome. RNAcentral's name for it is "partial contains 5.8S ribosomal RNA, internal transcribed spacer 2, and large subunit ribosomal RNA". The stretch from base 1 to 120 matches the Rfam family "5.8S ribosomal RNA", at positions 35 to 154 of the family's 154-position model. The record is from RNAcentral.